GUCGAACGCACUCUCGUUUAGAUUGAAGGAGCUUGCUCCUGAUUGAUAAACAUUUGAGUGAGUGGCGGACGGGUGAGUUACACGUGGGUAACCUGCCCUAAAGUGGGGGAUAACAUUUGGAAACAGAUGCUAAUACCGCAUAAAACCUAACACCGCAUGGUGUAGGGUUGAAAGAUGGUUUCGGCUAUCACUUUAGGAUGGACCCGCGGUGCAUUAGUUAGUUGGUGAGGUAAAGGCUCACCAAGACCGUGAUGCAUAGCCGACCUGAGAGGGUAAUCGGCCACACUGGGACUGAGACACGGCCCAGACUCCUACGGGAGGCAGCAGUAGGGAAUCUUCCACAAUGGACGAAAGUCUGAUGGAGCAACGCCGCGUGAGUGAAGAAGGUUUUCGGAUCGUAAAACUCUGUUGUUGGAGAAGAAUGUAUCUGAUAGUAACUGAUCAGGUAGUGACGGUAUCCAACCAGAAAGCCACGGCUAACUACGUGCCAGCAGCCGCGGUAAUACGUAGGUGGCAAGCGUUGUCCGGAUUUAUUGGGCGUAAAGCGAGCGCAGGCGGUUUCUUAAGUCUGAUGUGAAAGCCUUCGGCUCAACCGAAGAAGUGCAUCGGAAACUGGGAAACUUGAGUGCAGAAGAGGACAGUGGAACUCCAUGUGUAGCGGUGAAAUGCGUAGAUAUAUGGAAGAACACCAGUGGCGAAGGCGGCUGUCUGGUCUGUAACUGACGCUGAGGCUCGAAAGCAUGGGUAGCAAACAGGAUUAGAUACCCUGGUAGUCCAUGCCGUAAACGAUGAGUGGUAGGUGUUGGAGGGUUUCCGCCCUUCAGUGCCGCAGCUAACGCAUUAAGCACUCCGCCUGGGGAGUACGACCGCAAGGUUGAAACUCAAAGGAAUUGACGGGGGCCCGCACAAGCGGUGGAGCAUGUGGUUUAAUUCGAAGCAACGCGAAGAACCUUACCAGGUCUUGACAUCCUUUGACCACUCUAGAGAUAGAGCUUUCCCUUCGGGGACAAAGUGACAGGUGGUGCAUGGUUGUCGUCAGCUCGUGUCGUGAGAUGUUGGGUUAAGUCCCGCAACGAGCGCAACCCUUAUUACUAGUUGCCAGCAUUUAGUUGGGCACUCUAGUGAGACUGCCGGUGACAAACCGGAGGAAGGUGGGGACGACGUCAAAUCAUCAUGCCCCUUAUGACCUGGGCUACACACGUGCUACAAUGGAUGGUACAACGAGUUGCGAGACCGCGAGGUUUAGCUAAUCUCUUAAAACCAUUCUCAGUUCGGAUUGUAGGCUGCAACUCGCCUACAUGAAGCCGGAAUCGCUAGUAAUCGCGGAUCAGCAUGCCGCGGUGAAUACGUUCCCGGGCCUUGUACACACCGA
This 1372-nucleotide ribosomal RNA is filed under the name uncultured Lactobacillus sp. RNAcentral's name for it is "bacterial SSU rRNA". It matches the Rfam family "Bacterial small subunit ribosomal RNA", at positions 61 to 1393 of the family's 1533-position model. Lineage: Bacteria; Bacillati; Bacillota; Bacilli; Lactobacillales; Lactobacillaceae. The record is from RNAcentral.